This 253-nucleotide ribosomal RNA is filed under the name uncultured bacterium. Its description in RNAcentral is "partial 16S ribosomal RNA". It matches the Rfam family "Bacterial small subunit ribosomal RNA", at positions 524 to 776 of the family's 1533-position model. The record is from RNAcentral.
GACAGAGGGGGCAAGCGUUGCUCGGAAUCACUGGGCGUAAAGGGCGCGUAGGCGGGAUGGCAAGUCGGUCGUGAAAUCCUUCGGCCCAACCGAAGAACGUCGGCCGAUACUGCCGUUCUUGAGGGAUGCAGAGGAGGCUGGAAUUCCCGGUGUAGCGGUGAAAUGUGUAGAGAUCGGGAGGAACACCGGUGGCGAAGGCGGGUCGCUGGGCAUUUCCUGACGCUGAGGGACGAAGGCUAGGGGAGCAAACGGG